AUAUCUCGCCUGAAGAAUCCUUCCGGCCAGUCGACGACAUCUACCGCAUCGUACACUCUCGACCUCGCUUCCUCGAUGUCCUUGCCCUUCGCAGUGACGCCAAGAACCCGGCCUCCGACAGCUACAAGGUUGCCGUCUCCAGCCAAAGCUGUCCCAGCAUGGAAUAUCUUGACAGCAGGAGAAACCUGCUCGGCCUUGUCGAUGUUUUUUAUUACGGUGCCCUUCUUAUAA
This 231-nucleotide ribosomal RNA is filed under the name Triticum aestivum (bread wheat). RNAcentral's name for it is "partial small subunit ribosomal RNA". Lineage: Eukaryota; Viridiplantae; Streptophyta; Magnoliopsida; Poales; Poaceae. The record is from RNAcentral.